AACGAACGCUGGCGGCGCGCCUAACACAUGCAAGUCGAACGAGAAUCCGGGGGCAACCCGGUAGUAAAGUGGCAAACGGGUGAGGAAUACAUGGGUAACCUACCCUUGAGAAGGGAAUAACCCGCCGAAAGGUGAGCUAAUACCCUAUACGCUAUCUUUUUUUCGAAAAGGAUAGGAAAGCCGGGUCGAGGACCUGGUACUCAAGGAGGGGCUCAUGUCCUAUCAGCUUGUUGGUGGGGUAACGGCCUACCAAGGCUACGACGGGUAGCUGGUCUGAGAGGAUGAUCAGCCACACUGGGACUGAGACACGGUCCAGACUCCUACGGGAGGCAGCAGUGGGGAAUCUUGCGCAAUGGGCGAAAGCCUGACGCAGCGACGCCGCGUGGGUGAUGAAGGCCUCGGUUGUAAGACC
Molecule: ribosomal RNA, 412 nt
Filed under: uncultured bacterium
Lineage: Bacteria
Description: bacterial SSU rRNA
Rfam family: Bacterial small subunit ribosomal RNA
Source: RNAcentral